UACACUCCUGCGGGAGGCAGCAGUGGGGAAUAUUGGACAAUGGGCGCAAGCCUGAUCCAGCCAUGCCGCGUGAGUGAUGAAGGCCCUAGGGUUGUAAAGCUCUUUCACCGGAGAAGAUAAUGACGGUAUCCGGAGAAGAAGCCCCGGCUAACUUCGUGCCAGCAGCCGCGGUAAUCCGAAGGGGGCCAGCGUUGUUCGGAAUUACUGGGCGUAAAGCGCACGUAGGCGGAUCGAUCAGUCAGGGGUGAAAUCCCAGGGCUCAACCCUGGAACUGCCUUUGAUACUGUCGAUCUGGAGUAUGGAAGAGGUGAGUGGAAUUCCGAGUGUAGAGGUGAAAUUCGUAGAUAUUCGGAGGAACACCAGUGGCGAAGGCGGCUCACUGGUCCAUUACUGACGCUGAGGUGCGAAAGCGUGGGGAGCAAACAGGAUUAGAAACCCCGGUAGUCCCAUG
RNAcentral lists this ribosomal RNA (451 nucleotides) under uncultured organism. RNAcentral describes it as "partial 16S ribosomal RNA". It matches the Rfam family "Bacterial small subunit ribosomal RNA", at positions 332 to 799 of the family's 1533-position model. The record is from RNAcentral.